This 1027-nucleotide long non-coding RNA is filed under the name Citrus x clementina. Its description in RNAcentral is "Citrus clementina (C. clementina) long non-coding RNA (CCLE_LNC005807)". The record is from RNAcentral. Lineage: Eukaryota; Viridiplantae; Streptophyta; Magnoliopsida; Sapindales; Rutaceae.
CUACUUAAAGGAUUACUAAUUUUGAUAACAAAAUUAGCUUUAUGUAAAUGUUUUCAAACCAUUCUUUUUAACAAAGUAUUUUAUAAAUGCUUUUUAAUAUGUAAAUGAUUUUAUGACAUGACAACCUUUUAUGAUGUUAUCUUUAAAAUGUUAUGCAAGCCUAUAUUAUUGAUAUGAACUUUUAUAAAUCUGAUACGAAUGUUUUGUACCCAUAUAUGAUUUCAAUUACUGAUAAUUGUAUGAGAUUCCUAAUGUUUUGGCUCAUUGUCCAUAGUUAUUCUGAUUCUGAUUCUGAUCGUAAUAUACGAUAUAUCUGUCUGGACCAGUACUGGGUUUCUGUUCUGAAUGUGCACACGAUAUUCUGAUUCUGUUUCUGGCCGGGUCACCGGGACUAUAGGUGACACUAUGUGACAUGAGCUAACCUGUUUGUUUUCUGUAUACGUAUUACAUGAGUUGAUUCGUAAGUAAAUAUGCUUUUGAAUAUUCUGAAUUAUUAAGAAUUUAUCUUAUGUUAUUGUGAUAUAUCGUUUUAUGAAAAUUAUGGAUUAUGAUAUAUGCUUUAAACAAAAGAAGGCUUGCAAUAUUUUUGGUAUCGAUAGGCCUAGUGUGUUAGGAAUGGUUUUACUUACCGAGUUGACGGCUCACCCCUCGUCAUUACUUUUUUGCAGAUUAAGUUUCUUUUGAGAGGUGCACUUAGCUUUGGAGUUAAUGAUUUCCAGUUUCCGUUUGCUUUUGAAUAAGAAUUGGAGGAAUUUCAGUUUGAAACUUAUGAGUAAAGAUUAUGAUUUGUGAGUAACCUCCUUCUUCACGUGCUCCGCACGUGUUAGAUUUGGGGUGUUACAAUUGUGGUAUCAGAGCAACUAGGUUAGGAUUCUGUAGACUUUCUUUUACCGUUUAAUUAGAUUGUCUAAUUAAAUCGAUUACAUUUGUUUUGUAGACAUGAAGAAGGACAAUAUGGGUAUGAAAAGUGUCAAGAAUAAGGGAUGGACAAAUUUUCUUAGUUACAAUACUUAUUCAGUACUCUGCG